UAUGGCGACCGGCGCACGGGUGAGUAACGCGUAUGCAACUUACCUAUCAGAGGGGGAUAGCCCGGCGAAAGUCGGAUUAAUACCCCAUAAAACAGGGGUCCCGCAUGGGAAUAUUUGUUAAAGAUUCAUCGCUGAUAGAUAGGCAUGCGUUCCAUUAGGCAGUUGGCGGGGUAACGGCCCACCAAACCGACGAUGGAUAGGGGUUCUGAGAGGAAGGUCCCCCACAUUGGUACUGAGACACGGACCAA
Molecule: ribosomal RNA, 248 nt
Filed under: uncultured bacterium
Lineage: Bacteria
Description: partial 16S ribosomal RNA
Rfam family: Bacterial small subunit ribosomal RNA
Source: RNAcentral